RNAcentral lists this ribosomal RNA (253 nucleotides) under uncultured bacterium. RNAcentral's name for it is "partial 16S ribosomal RNA". It matches the Rfam family "Bacterial small subunit ribosomal RNA", at positions 524 to 776 of the family's 1533-position model. The record is from RNAcentral.
GACGAACCGUGCGAACGUUGUUCGGAAUCACUGGGCUUAAAGGGCGCGUAGGCGGGCAUUCAAGUCGGUGGUGAAAUCCUCCAGCUUAACUGGAGAAGAGCUGUCGAUACUGGAUGUCUCGAGGGGUGCAGGGGUCUGCGGAACUUCGGGUGGAGCGGUGAAAUUCGUAGAUAUUCGCAAGAACACCAGUGGCGAAGGCGGCUUACUGGACCGGUUCUGACGCUGAGGCGCGAAAGCGUGGGGAGCAAACAGG